AAGGGUCCCCAGAGGAACCAACAUGAAUUUUGGACUUUAGCCUCCAGAGCUAUGAGAGAGUAAGUUUCCAUUGUUUUAAACUACCUAGUCAUUUGUUAUGACAGCCCCAGAGAAGAGAACGACCACACUGUCCUUGGGCUUGAUUGAUAGUUUGGCUGGGGGUAGAGGAUCUAGGUUGCAAAAAUAGAACCAAACCUUGAUGACAUUUUUUUUGACAUUUUUCUAUCAUCUUCCAGCCUUUGGUGCUGUUGACAAAAGUAUGAUGCUUGAUCCUUGUGGACUGAGGUAAUUGGAAUCCUUGGUCUCAGAAACAGAAACAAAUUGCUAAAUGUAAGCACAAAAAUAACUCACUGGUUAAAUAUCUAGCAGUUUACAGAAUAGAUGUGAAAACUGCAGAGCCAGUCUGAGGCUAUCACCAAGGGAGGUAAGAUGUAGCCAAAGACUACCCCAGGAAUGGCCGGCCUGGAAUGUCACCACUGUUGCCACUGCAACCAGAUCCUUGACCCUGUGGGACGACGGUAGUUUCAAUAUGACUACAAAUUAUUUUUAGCUCCUUCCAGCAGGAUGAGGAGUCCAUUUCCCUACUUCUUGAAUCUGAGGUCAUGUUACAACUUCAUCUGACCAAUACAAUGCUGCACAGACACCGUGUGACUUCAUAGCUUCCACCUUAACACACCUUGCAGCUUCCACUCUCCAGUAAGACUUCCACCAAGAAGCCCAGGAUCAAAGAUUGUGUGGAGAGAGACGCCCAGCUGCCUAGUGACCCCAGCCACCCCAGGUGAGACGCAGACACCAAAGUGAAGUCAUCAGAGACAAUGCAGCCUCAAGCCACAAGCUAUCAGCAGCUGCAUAAGCGACCUCAGGCAACAGAUCCGACGAAAAUUUUAUUCAGCACUAGACUGACUGGUCUCCAUAAAAUUUCCUCUUGCUUUUGACCCCUGAAAGUCCUCAUGGUCCUGCUGCUGCCGCCAACACCACUGUCCCAAGAACCUGCCUUGACGCUCAAAGGACUAGGACUUGUGGGGACUCUGGUCGGUGUCGGGUGUGGACAGUGAGUUCACCCGCCACACCGUAGCUGACUUCCAUUCCUGCUUCCGUGCUGCACAUAGAAUCUCCUUGGUGCUCUUAGUCCAAUUAACACCCUCCCAGUCUUGGCAUCCCUCUUCUUGCUUUUCUGAUCCAAAUCUGAAGCAGGCAUCCUGGUGAAUGAGAGAGGAAUAUAAUGUGUCAGCAGGCUGAUUCGUGCCUUUGUCCCCACUGCCCUCACUCAGCAUCAAGUGUGACAGCCUGCCUCCUGGAGCUGGGAGGAGAACAGAGCUCACCUUCCCCAGGGAAGACACACACUGAACACACAGUGUGAUCCCAGAGCCCGGCAAGGAGAGCAUCAACUAGCUGCUCCUCAUCAUAUUGGAGGAAAAGAGGACUCCCCAGGGAAACAAGGGAAAGGCAUUCCAGGCAGAAGCAGCAGUGUGUGAGAAAGCAGAAGGUAGCUGGUAUGUUUUGGGGGACACCAAGAAGCCCAGUGUGUGAGCCUGGGAGAUGAUGCAGGGUCUUGAAAUUUUUAGACUCUGUGUUGAAGGCCUGAAGGAGAGAAAUCUUGUGUGAGAAAUGGACAAGAACCUUUCCUAACCUGGUCACAGGUGUACAGAAGAGAGCCACGAGCCCCACAGAAGCAUACUGACCCUGAUCAUUCAGCCAGUUGCCCUGGUUAUACCUGAGGAAGUGACCGCCCCUCACUCCGGUGCUAAGAAUAUCUGGGUUCCCGGACCAUCACCUCCUCAAGCGGAGCAUCUGAAGUCCACACCAGACCAGGAAAUUGCAGCAGCAGCAGCAGCAGCUUUCUCCAGGAGCCCUGGUUGCUGGCGUUCCCGGGAUGGAUGAAGUGUCCCGUGGCUUGGUUCCCCACUGUCUCGAAGCCCUGGACACAGCCCUCGUUCAUCCUGGGAAGGAGGGCAGAAACUGGCAGAGCUCUGAGGGCAGCCACGCCCUUCCCAGGCCCUGCCCUCUCCUGGCACCCACCCGAAGGCUGCAGUGGGUUGGUGGACGUUGCUGGUAAGGCCAGGGCCCCACAGGGUCUGUGAGUGCCCCAUCAAAGCACAAGUCCCACAGUAGAUAUGGAAAUGGCUCGCUGAGGGCCUGGGAAUCACCUUGAACAGCUUUUCCCACAUUUUGCCAAGGCCACUUGCUGAGUUCAUGCCCUGGAAACAGCAGAAAGAAGACUGGGGGCUGGGAGCUGGGUAUCGGCUCUAGUGGAAAGAAAGCAGACCUGUAGGGUGAGACCCUUAUACUGGUGGUCAGGGUUUGAGGCCAUGAGGAGGAGAGGUGCGCUAAACCAGGGCCGAGGGCAGGGGCUGGGUGAGAAAGUGGGACAUGGGCUGGGCCUUGGAAGGACCAGGGGUGGGACUGGGGCCAGGGUUGGCCACUGACCAACCAACAGAGUACAGUAUCAGGGGUCAUGGAUUCUGUUGCCCCCAUCAGGUGCUCCAGGGCCUUCUCAUAGCAGGUAGCAAAUCGGUUCCGUUCUCCAACUCUGUGGUAGCAGAGGGAGGCGUUUAGUGUCUCGGAUGGGCAGCCACUUCUCCUGAAUUUGAGCCAAGGGCAGUUGCAAUGCCGUGGUACCAAGGCCAUCAGUUUUCCCUGGGGUGGCGAUUCAGGUUUGGGAUCCAGGCAGGGUGCCAUCAGCCACAUGAUGAGUACCCAGAAGACCCACAGGACAAAAAUCUGCCACAAGUGCUUCAUGUCCUGGGGCAGACAGCAGACUGACUUCUCUACCUGGGAUUGAGAAGGAGGAGAAACUGAGGCCCUAGGCUCUCUCUGUCCCUUUGGCCCCUAUGGCCCCCCAACCCACCACAUCAUACCUCCUGCCUCCCUGCCCAUUUGCUCACCUCCAGAGAGGACCUAGCUGGCCCUGGGAUGGAAAGUGCAAGUGCAGAGAGAUAACAUAUGGUGGGUCCCGUAUCCUCCAUCAGGAGGAAGGAUUAGCUCUCAGUGUGGUCCCCCAUGCCACCAAUCAUACCACAGAUCUCAUCAUAAAGUAUACAUUGUGACCUCCCUUCUGUAGCCUGCCUGGGCAGAGCCGCUACCCAGUCCUGUCUGCGAUAUACCAGCAGUCUGCAUGAGGGCAGAGAUGGAACUUGACUGUCUUUUUUAGCUCUGCAUCCCUAAGACUGAGAAUCAUUUAAUAAAUAUUUGUGGGAUACAUGAGCAGAGAUGAGAGGGAACUGAGAGACUAAUUAGUGUCUGUGUGAUGCCCCUCUCUCCAAACGUGUAACUAGGCUCAGAUCUCUCUUCUAUUCUCCAGACCUCAUACCCAACAGCCUUAUGGACUUACCCUUAGAUGUCUCAGAGACCUCUCCUAACUCAGGAUUUUCCCUGUAAGCCAAUUCCUUCCCAAGACUUCUCCAUCUCGGUAAAUGUCCCACCUGUCACCAAGUGGCUCGAGCCAGAAACCUAUGGGCUCUCCUGGAUUUCUCCUUCUCUUGUGAUUUCCAAAACCAUUUUCCAUCCAUUUGUUUCUGUCUCCAUACCACCUUCUUCAUUUCCACUACCACCACCCCCCCUUUUUUGUUAAGAUUUUAUUAUUUAUUCAUGAGAGACACGCAGAGAGAGGCAGAGACAUGGGCAGAGGGAGAAGCAGGCUCCAUGCAGGGACCUGAUGCAGGACUUGAUCCCUGGACCCCAGGAUCAUGACCUGAGCCAAAGGCAGACACUCAACUACUGAGCCACCCAGGCACCCCAGCUGGGUAUUUUAUAGCUUUUAAAACAAUUCACAAAAAAAAACUGAGUAAGGUCUAUACUUUAAUUAAUUGUGCUGUGCCAAUGCCAAUUUCCUGGUUUGGACAAUGUCCUGUUGCUACUAUAUAAGAUGCUACCAUUAGGGGAAACCGGGUACAUAGGACCUCUCCUUACUAUUUUUGCAAUUUCUUAUGUGCCUAUAGUUAUUUAAAAACAAAAAGUUGUGUUGUGUUUUGUUUUUUAAAGAUUUAUUUACGUAUUUUGGAGAGACAGAGACAGAGAACGGGGAGAAGUACAAGGAGAGAGAGAAAAGAAUCUCAAGCAGACUCUUCACUGAGUGCAGAGCCCAAAGCUUGACUCGGGCUCAACCUCACAAUCCUGAGGCCAUGAUCUGAGUCAGAACCAAGCGUGGGAUGCUCAACAGACUGUGCCACCCAGGCACCCCUCAAAAUAAAAAGGUUUUAAAAAUCCUCUAGAAAAAAAUGUAUAGUAAGCUUUAUUGCAGUUUCCUUCAUAUCAAGUGAUAUAUUUUAUUAUUUUAUUUAUUAUUGUAUUAUUGUAUUAUUGUUUUUUAUUAUUGUAAAACACUCAGAAAUUACCUUUCCAACCAUUUUAAAGUGUAGAAUUCAGUGACAGUACAUUGUGCAGUACUAUGCAGCUACCAUCUCCAUCUAGUUCCGGAACAUAUUCAUCCCCACAAGAGGCAGCUCCAUUCCCGGUAAGCAAUCAAGUCCUAUUUUCAUCUUCUCCAGCCUCUGGUAAGGUAGGAGUUUUUAAAAAUUAAAACAUCUUAAAAUAUUAGCCUUGCUUUUCUUUUUGACAACUUUGUUGAGGCACAAUUUGCAUGUCAAAAAAAAUCACACAUUUUAAAUUCAAUGAUUUUUUUUAGUAAAUUUGUAGUUAUGUAAGCAUCACCACAAACCAGUUUCGAAUGUUCCCAUCAGAGACCCCUCAUUCACAUUUACCAUCAAUCUCUCUCCUCAUUCCAAGCAACUCAAACCUACUUCCUCUAUAGAUUUGCCUUGUUUGGGCAGCCCCGGUGGCUCAGUGGUUUAGUGCUGCCUUUGGCCC
Molecule: long non-coding RNA, 4806 nt
Organism: Canis lupus familiaris (dog)
Lineage: Eukaryota; Metazoa; Chordata; Mammalia; Carnivora; Canidae
Exons: 3
Source: RefSeq, a predicted model, not a curated record